Lepus europaeus (European hare) is the source of this 110-nucleotide small nuclear RNA. The record is from RefSeq and is a predicted model, not a curated record. Lineage: Eukaryota; Metazoa; Chordata; Mammalia; Lagomorpha; Leporidae.
UUUUUCAGUCUUAAUAAAAUAAUGUUUUAGAAAUUGGAACGAUACAGAGAAGAUUAGCAUGGCUCCUGCGCAAGGAUGACACGCAAAUUCAUGAAGCAUUCCAUAUUUUU